Cordylochernes scorpioides is the source of this 80-nucleotide non-coding RNA. Lineage: Eukaryota; Metazoa; Arthropoda; Arachnida; Pseudoscorpiones; Chernetidae. The record is from the annotation of a GenBank genome assembly.
CACACAUCGCCUGGAAAUCAAACCCACAAUGUUCCGCUUACCGGGCAGAUGCCAUGUCCACUAGGCUACCCUGGACAUAU